Molecule: ribosomal RNA, 587 nt
Filed under: uncultured bacterium
Lineage: Bacteria
Description: bacterial SSU rRNA
Rfam family: Bacterial small subunit ribosomal RNA
Source: RNAcentral
CCUACGGGAGGCAGCAGUGGGGAAUCUUGGACAAUGGGGGCAACCCUGAUCCAGCCAUGCCGCGUGUGUGAAGAAGGCCUUCGGGUUAUAAAGCACUUUCGGCCGGAACGAAAUCGCGCGCGUUAACACCGCGCGUGGAUGACGGUACCGGAAGAAGAAGCACCGGCUAACUACGUGCCAGCAGCCGCGGUAAUACGUAGGGUGCGAGCGUUAAUCGGAAUUACUGGGCGUAAAGGGUGCGCAGGCGGCGUCGCAAGUCAGGCGUGAAAUCCCCGGGCUUAACCUGGGAAUGGCACUCGAAACUACGAUGCUGGAGUAUGGCAGAGGGAGGUGGAAUUCCACGUGUAGCGGUGAAAUGCGUAGAGAUGUGGAGGAACACCGAUGGCGAAGGCAGCCUCCUGGGCCAAUACUGACGCUCAUGCACGAAAGCGUGGGGAGCAAACAGGAUUAGAUACCCUGGUAGUCCACGCCCUAAACGAUGAUGACUAGUUGUUGGAGGAGUUAAAUCCUUUAGUAACGCAGCUAACGCGAGAAGUCAUCCGCCUGGGGAGUACGGUCGCAAGAUUAAAACUCAAAGGAAUUGACGG